AACAACUCGUCAACGACUGGUCGUAUAACUGAUGACAGACAGCUAGAUUAACGGACUGCAGUCAAGUAUUUGAUUUCCUGGUUCGUUUAAACAGGUUUUUCCAUCCAAUCUGAGGAAUGAGAGAAAGCCUAAUAAAAAAAAUUAAAAGGAAGAAAAUAGAACAAUCUACACAAAUAUUUGUGACUGUCGUUUAUCUAUCUGUUUAGGGUUGGUGGCUAGUGGACUACACUAGGGCUGUCCCGAGGCUGAAAUUUGGUGUUAUGGGGCUUUUCUGGCAAUCUCUAGAGACUGGUAUCAUCAUAUUACAGUAUACGUAUUUGAAACAAAGAUGUAGAUAUGAGUAUGAGUGGUCAGUAUUGAGAGCCGGCUACUUAACCCUAACUCCCAUCCAGGAAGAGGGAGGUAGGAUUUUCCGCAAGUCCCUUGAUCGAAUGGAAGUGUUUACUCACUAUUGACCUUACAUUGUAGAAUACAUA
Molecule: long non-coding RNA, 476 nt
Organism: Patella vulgata (common limpet)
Lineage: Eukaryota; Metazoa; Mollusca; Gastropoda; Patellidae
Exons: 3
Source: RefSeq, a predicted model, not a curated record